RNAcentral lists this long non-coding RNA (331 nucleotides) under Daucus carota (carrot). RNAcentral's name for it is "long non-coding RNA (DCAR_LNC000475)". Lineage: Eukaryota; Viridiplantae; Streptophyta; Magnoliopsida; Apiales; Apiaceae. The record is from RNAcentral.
AUUUCAUCGUAUCUGAACUACACCCUAGGGUUUGGCCUUCCACCAUAAGCAUUGUACCGAGCCAUGCCAUUCGGGGUCUUUUCAACACUGGUCUCGUUUUUCCUUUUCAAUACGACACGCCAGGUGAGCACCUCCAAAAUUGCAGCACUGAUCGACAAAAUGACUAUGAUUGUAAUAUAUCCUCUUUGCCAUUUCUUGUCUGGAUUCAGGAUGUCGAAUCCUUUGAAUAUGUUGAUGAUGCUCAAGAGAAUGACCAUGUACCCUGUUGUGUGGUGGUAGAUAUUCCAGUACAACCUGUAUUUGUGAUCUUUCUGUGGCCUUACGAGCAAAG